Molecule: ribosomal RNA, 491 nt
Filed under: uncultured bacterium
Lineage: Bacteria
Description: partial 16S ribosomal RNA
Rfam family: Bacterial small subunit ribosomal RNA
Source: RNAcentral
AGUGAACGCUGGCGGUAGGCCUAACACAUGCAAGUCGAACGGCAGCACAGUAAGAGCUUGCUCUUACGGGUGGCGAGUGGCGGACGGGUGAGGAAUACAUCGGAAUCUACUUUUUCGUGGGGGAUAACGUAGGGAAACUUACGCUAAUACCGUAUACGACCUACGGGUGAAAGCAGGGGAUCUUCGGACCUUGCGCGAUUGAAUGAGCCGAUGUCGGAUUAGCUAGUUGGCGGGGUAAAGGCCCACCAAGGCGACGAUCCGUAGCUGGUCUGAGAGGAUGAUCAGCCACACUGGAACUGAGACACGGUCCAGACUCCUACGGGAGGCAGCAGUGGGGAAUAUUGGACAAUGGGCGCAAGCCUGAUCCAGCCAUACCGCGUGGGUGAAGAAGGCCUUCGGGUUGUAAAGCCCUUUUGUUGGGAAAGAAAAGCAGCAGGUUAAUACCCCGCUGUUCUGACGGUACCCAAAGAAUAAGCACCGGCGAACUUCGU